AUAAAAGUUUGAUUCUUGCUUAAGAAAUUUUCGGUUUAAUAAAAGUUCAUAUGAAAAUUUUGGUGUUCUUUAAAAUAAAAAAGUUAAAAAUAUGAUUUAUCCUAAAAUUAGGUAAAUUCUCAAUAUGUAAUAUUAAGUUAUCAAUAAAAAUUGGAUUUAAUUAUUAAAAUUGUUAUGGCUAAAUUUUGUGCCAGCAGCUGCGGUUAUACAUAAAUAGCUAGAAAAAAGAUCGGAAAGUAAAAUAUAAUUUAUAAAUUUUUAAAUUAAUUUAAUAACAUAGAAGGUGAAAUUAUUUUAUAUUAUUUAAUGUAAAUUUAAAUUUAAAUAAAAGUAUAAUUUAAGAAAUUUAAUAUAUAAACUAGGAUUAGAUACCCUACUAUAUUUAAACUAAAGUUUAAUCUUGAUUAUUAUUAGAUAUAGUCUUGAAAAUCAAAGAAUUUGGCGGUAUUUUAGUCUAUUUAGAGGAACCUGUUUAAUAAUCGAUAAACCACGAAUAAUUUUACUUGUUUAAAAUAAUUUGUAUACCGUCAUUAUUAGAUAACUUUUAUAGAAUUAGAUAUUGAAAUUUUAUGCUAAAAUUAUAUUAGAUCAAGGUGCAGUUUAUAGACAAGAAUAGAUGGGUUACAAUAGUAUUUACUAUUAUGAAUCUAAUUAUUAAGUUGAUUAGUGAAAGUGGAUUUAAUUGUAUUCUUUUUUUAAUAAGAAAAGUUGAUAUUAGCUCUAUGAUAUGUACAUAUCCCCCGUCCCUUUCAUAAAUUAAAGUGAAAUAAGUCGUAACAUAGUAGGUGUACUGGAAAGUUUACCUAGAAUU
Molecule: non-coding RNA, 811 nt
Filed under: Shinkaia crosnieri
Lineage: Eukaryota; Metazoa; Arthropoda; Malacostraca; Decapoda; Munidopsidae
Source: RNAcentral